GACGAACGCUGGCGGCGUGCUUAACACAUGCAAGUCGAACGAGAUCCCAUGUGUAGCACUACACAGGAAGAUCUAGUGGCGAACGGGUGAGGAACACGUGAGAAACGUACCCCAGACUUUGGGAUAACAGUCCGAAAGGACUGCUAAUACCAAAUAACGUCGGAAGUCCGCAUGGACAUCUGACGAAAGGGAUUCCGGUUUGGGAGCGUCUCGCGGACCUAUCAGCUAGUUGGAGGGGUAACGGCCCACCAAGGCAACGACGGGUAGCUGGUCUGAGAGGAUGGUCAGCCACACUGGGACUGAGACACGGCCCAGACUCCUACGGGAGGCAGCAGUGGGGAAUCUUGCGCAAUGGGCGAAAGCCUGACGCAGCAACGCCGCGUGCGGGAAGAAGGCUUUCGGGCUGUAAACCGCUUUCAGUAGGAACGAAACUGACGGUACCUACAGAAGAAGGAGCGGCCAACUAUGUG
Molecule: ribosomal RNA, 470 nt
Filed under: uncultured bacterium
Lineage: Bacteria
Description: partial 16S ribosomal RNA
Rfam family: Bacterial small subunit ribosomal RNA
Source: RNAcentral